This 71-nucleotide transfer RNA is filed under the name Candidatus Cloacimonadota bacterium. Its description in RNAcentral is "tRNA-Trp". It matches the Rfam family "tRNA". From Rfam's summary of the family: Transfer RNA (tRNA) molecules are approximately 80 nucleotides in length. Their secondary structure includes four short double-helical elements and three loops (D, anti-codon, and T loops). Further hydrogen bonds mediate the characteristic L-shaped molecular structure. tRNAs have two regions of fundamental functional importance: the anti-codon, which is responsible for specific mRNA codon recognition, and the 3' end, to which the tRNAs corresponding amino acid is attached (by aminoacyl-tRNA synthetases). tRNAs cope with the degeneracy of the genetic code in two manners: having more than one tRNA (with a specific anti-codon) for a particular amino acid; and 'wobble' base-pairing, i.e. permitting non-standard base-pairing at the 3rd anti-codon position. Lineage: Bacteria; Pseudomonadati; Candidatus Cloacimonadota. The record is from RNAcentral.
AUAUCCAUAGCUCAACGGUAGAGCACUGGUCUCCAAAACCAGCUAUGAAGGUUCGAUCCCUUCUGGAUGUA